GAUGAACGCUGGCGGCGUGCCUAAUACAUGCCAGUCGAGCGAACAGACGAGGAGCUUGCUCCUCUGACGUUAGCGGCGGACGGGUGAGUAACACGUGGAUAACCUACCUAUAAGACUGGGAUAACUUCGGGAAACCGGAGCUAAUGCCGGAUAAUAUAUUGAACCGCAUGGUUCAAUAGUGAAAGCCGGUUUUGCUGUCACUUAUAGAUGGAUCCGCGCCGCAUUAGCUAGUUGGUAAGGUAACGGCUUACCAAGGCAACGAUGCGUAGCCGACCUGAGAGGGUGAUCGGCCACACUGGAACUGAGACACGGUCCAGACUCCUACGGGAGGCAGCAGUAGGGAAUCUUCCGCAAUGGGCGAAAGCUUGACGGAGCAACGCCGCGUGAGUGAUGAAGGUCUUCGGAUCGUAAAACUCUGUUAUUAGGGAAGAACAAAUGUGUAAGUAACUAUGCACGUCUUGACGGUACCUAAUCAGAAAGCCACGGCUAACUACGUG
This 497-nucleotide ribosomal RNA is filed under the name uncultured bacterium. RNAcentral's name for it is "partial 16S ribosomal RNA". It matches the Rfam family "Bacterial small subunit ribosomal RNA", at positions 28 to 507 of the family's 1533-position model. The record is from RNAcentral.